UUUUAGUAAAACCGGUGGAGCAAUUCAGAAAGAACUCUGAAGGUUACAAUUCCACACGGAAAAUACAAGAGAAUGCCCGGCAGCGAGCUAACCACGUUCGUAUCUUCCUGAGAUUCAUGUCUGAGCCAGCUGUUCCACAUGUUAACCAUCUGUUCCUUAAAGAGUACAGACGAAUCCGGAAAUUUACAGCAGAUCUGGCCGACCAAAACCUAAAACUGACGACAGUUAAGAGCUACUUGACAGAAGUCGUUGCAUUCAUAAAAUAUUGUUCAAGUAUGGCUCCAGAAGGUGUUGAAAUAGGCCAAAAAAUGCCUUACUCUGGGCAAGGAUGAGGGACGUGUCGAGAGCAGUGGUAGGGCAACAACUGGCCCAGCGCAGCAGAAAGUCCAAGGCAGUGGUGAAAGCAACUCACCAUGCAUGGCCAAGAUAUCUGCUGCACUCGGUAAGAAUCACUGCUAACU
Perca flavescens (yellow perch) is the source of this 461-nucleotide long non-coding RNA. RefSeq lists it as uncharacterized. Lineage: Eukaryota; Metazoa; Chordata; Actinopteri; Perciformes; Percidae. The record is from RefSeq and is a predicted model, not a curated record. The transcript is spliced from 3 exons.